UGUAGCCCAAGAGCAAAAUGAAAGAAAAUCUUCGAUGGGCAAUAAUAAAUAAAGCGCAUUAACUUAAAAGAACAUUCAUAAAACAGUUAUGGCCACUUAUAAUACCAAUUGACCAACAUGCCAGUGAAAGUAGCAGUGCCACGCAAUGGACAUCAUGGGAAAAUAAGUAUAUUUUUAUAUUUUAAUAUUAAUAUACACUUCUAAAAAAAGCUGACCAAUAGGGAAAAACAAUAUUAUGUUUAUACAUUUAACCAAGUCUCGUAUAUUUCAUCAAAAUAAAUAUUGAAUGAAUACGUUAUUGUAAACCGGAGGGAAAAAUAUAUCGAUGUUUAAAUCGCCUAUUAAUGGCAGGUAAGCAUAAUUUUGACUAAUGGUUGUUUGAAAUAUAGUUAGUGUACGAUGAGUCUGAAUACAAAAUUACUACUAUGACCUAGUAUUAAAUAUAACGCAAUAAUAAUGACUCAUAAGGCAUAACCAUGGCAACUAAAUGUCAUCCCGCCAAAAAGAUAAUGAUGAUAAUAAUAUAGCUAUAUAGCAGAAAUUAAUGUUUUUAUAACAUUUUCAAAAAACUAAAUCCUUCAAAUGAGAAUGAUAUGUUCUUGCUCCGCAAGACAUGCCAGCCCGAUCUUUUUAUAAUGUAUAGUGAUGAACGAGUGUGUUGAUAUGCCUUCAGGAAUUAUGUAAAGCAUCUAAUUUAAUCAUUCAUUUGGUCGAUUAUUAUAUGAGCAGCACGAUUAUAAUUUAGUUGUGCAAUUCUUUUAUUUUUAUUUCUUGCAUUAGCAUAACUACUAAUUAUACAUUAUCAGUGAAAAAUAUUUAAUUAAUAUUCGUAUUAUUGUAAAAUGUACGGCGAUUGCCUAUAAACGAAGUUUAGACUUUGCAGUUAUAUAUACAUAUACUUGAAUAUAUGUAAAUAUAUUACAUUUUUUAACUCUGAUGUAUUACAAUAUGCGUCUGUGGUAGGUAUACGUACUUCAAGUGCACGUUGCACAAGCGAAGAAACACACCGAUGAUUUAAAAUUAAAAUUAAAUGUAAUGUGUAUGGUUUUGUGAUUUUGCAUAGAUAUUAGCCGCCGCAGUGACCUUUACAAAAUGCAAUCGGCGAUCGAUAGCAAUUAGAGAACGCGGAGUUAAAACUGCGAGACUGCGGAUAAAUCAAAGAUUUAUACACGUAAUGCGGCAUUUCCUCAAAUUCGUCCCAAACGACUGACGAGUCACUCGCCUUAGCCCGCGCCCACUGCAAUUCUGCGGUUUUAUAAUAUUAUCAUUGUUACAAAGCGUGAAUCGAAUCGGACUGCUGCAACAUAUUAUUUCCGCGCAGUGUGAAUUAUGUAUAAGUAUUUUAAAAAUGAACAUUUGUGACGAAGAGCAACUAUUCUCCGGAUUUAAAUCUAUACUCGCGACAACGAAAUUUCACGUCACACUUUGACUUUGCAGUACGCUAACAAUUGGGAGGGCGGCGGCGCUAUACUAAAACACGCCUGCGAUUAACCGGAGGAAGCAAUGAUUUUAUUGUCAUCGACAUAAUAAUGUUUUGUAGAAGUUAUAAUAUUAUUAGAUGUAAGUAUAUUACUUAAUGCGUCCCAAGGACAGAACAAUGGGCGACGAUUGAAGGAAGAAACCAUUAAUCUCUUUCUUGUCGUUCUUUGUCAUCCCGUGUCCAAAAAGGGCUGACAACUAAUUUGAGACUGAUAUUAUGUCGAUAACUGUGUCUCAUUAACACUAAUUAAUUUUCAUUGCAAUCGUAAUUGUAUCUGUAAUUUAUUAUUAAUAAGUCAAUAUUUCCUCACGUUUUUCUCGUAUCACUGAACAAUGUGCGAUUUUUUUUUUAUAAAUACUUACAUUGUUUAUCAUCGAUUUUCAUGCGAUUGUCAUGAUCUCAUCUAUAAGCGACGUUUAAUUUGGUUGUAGUCGUAAGUUUAUCGAACUCAGAUAAAAUUGCGCGUGCACUGCAGUAUAAUAUCCGUAUAAUAUUAUUAUUUAACAUACCUUCUUGAAAAGUCAGAUAUGCUUAAAAAAAUUAAAAUUCAUUAUUCAACAUGGACUAAUUAAAUUAGGCUUUGAUUGCAUUAUUUUAUUCAAAAAGCAUACAGUAAAUUGUAUAAAAUUAUAAUUUAGUAUAAGA
Molecule: long non-coding RNA, 2125 nt
Organism: Aphis gossypii (cotton aphid)
Lineage: Eukaryota; Metazoa; Arthropoda; Insecta; Hemiptera; Aphididae
Exons: 4
Source: RefSeq, a predicted model, not a curated record